UGUUAGCGGGUUAGCCCCCAACUUCAGUUAUUUGGAAAAUAGCCCUCACCGCCUCUCAUCUCUUGCUAAAAGAAUCUCAGAUCUACUACCUUCCUCUCAAUGAAAUGUUAAGCUCUCCUUCACGUAUCUUCUUCUCUUGGGAUUGUAUUUCUCUUUCUCACCUUUUCAUUGUUUUUCUAUGAGAUGUAAACCUUGUUCGUUAUAUCAAUGGUUUUAAGGUCUUGUGAAAGGUAACAUAAUUUUUUUUGUUUAUUGUUCUUUUUGCGAUUUUCGUUCUGUUUUUGGAAAUCUGAAUUUAUAUGGUUUUUAGGUAUUUCUUUGCAGUUGAAUCAUAUUGUUUGAUUUUUGUUCUUUUCAUAUAAUUAGUUUAGAUCUGAGUAAUAUCGAGUUCACUUUAAAUUGGGUUUAGGCUUGUCUAUGUUGAUUAGAAAUUUGCGAAUAUAUCCCUAAUUCGUGCUAAUUUAGGGUUUUUAGAUACUUCUUUGCAGUUGAAUCAUAUUGUUUGAUUUUCUUCUUUUCAUAUAAUUAGUUUAGAUCUGAGUAAUACCGAGUUCACUUUAAAUUGGGUUUAGAUUUGUCUAUGUUGAUUAGAAAUUUGUGAUUCUAUCCUUAAUUCGUGCUAAUUUUUUCGUUUCUGAGGGCUGUUGAAAUAUUUGUUCUUUUCAGCUUGAUAUUCUGUCCUAACUGAAAGCUAAAGUGUUUUAGAUUUAAGGGACCUGAUAAGCUUAAGAUGGUUAACAGAAUAGUAUGUACUAAAUAUGCAUAAUGUUGGCUAUAAUUGAGUGAUUGCCUCUGGAUCCAGUGCAUCUAUGUCGUUUGUCUGCUGUUGUGUAGCUUUAAAUGACUACAAGUACAAGAAUCAUUUUUCUUUCCAGCCUUGUACAAGCCAAAUUUAGCCCAUAUCUAUUGUAAGGCUAGUUUGUAUUUGCUUCUUGAUCAAAGUUUUUGAGUUUAAUAAAAAGCACUAGCAAGAACCUAAGAAUGGACAAUUCGUGAUGUAAGAUCAGGUAGAAAAUUUGAUGUUUGAUUCAUGUUUUUACAUAUGUUAUACAUGUUCUUGAUCAGUUUCUGAAAAGUAGUAUUAUGAGUUACUAUUGAUCUGUUAUCAAUGUAAUUUAUUGUUGUGCAAUAUUGGUGAUGUUAUUAUCUAUUAGAACAUUACAUACCCUUCGCUAUAAUUUAUUGUUAUUUUAUCUUUUAGGACGAAACUCAAUUUAUUUGAAUUUGCUUUGCACUAUUCCAAGGCACUGACUUUUUUCCGGCGUCACAAUUUUCAUUGUCGUGAUGAGUCACUAGAACUGAAUAAGGCAAAUAGCCAUAUAGAAGUCAAAAUAUUAAUUAGUAACCAUAUGCUAAUGGUAGACUAUAGUCAAGCAAUUAGGAAUGGCAGGUCUGGAUUCGUUCACGUCCUCUCUCUUUGCUUAUUGAAUAACAACUUUUACUAUCCUUGGUAAUAUAAGAAAUAGUUAUUCUAGUUCUUAGCUGCUCCUAAAUUCUCCUAGCUUCAAUGUCUACAUGUAAUGUACUAAACUUUUGUUUAAUUGAAGAGAAAAGGACUUUUUAAGCUCGCAGAGUGAAGGUAAGUGGGUUAAUAAACCGUGCUACUAUUUCCACACAAGCUUUACUGUUGGCAGAUAAACUAAGUGUUUGCUUAAAAUUAGGUUGUAUAAAUGUUUAAAUAAGAAUUUUUGCUUAAUGAUACUAAAGUAAGGAGGCAUAUGAAAGAGUUUUUAUCUGUUUUGGAACACAACAAAAUGAUUUUUCCCAGUCUUCUAUAACCUCGUGCUAGUAGCUUUACAUGGAAAUUUAUUCAUGUAGUUUCCAGAUCGAAAUUCUCUAACUUUAUGUCUAAUCUCUGUCUUUUCAUUACCUAGUCGUAAAACAACUUCAUAGGGACUCGGGUACUUGAAUAGGGUGAUGCAAUUCAUGGAAUUUAGGCUCAUUUAAAUGUUUCCUCAAUGUUAGUAUAAGAGCUAAACAUUAAGAGGCACGUGGAACUGGAAUAAAUAGAGCUAAGAUAAGAGAAAACUACAACUGUUGUGGUGAAUCUUCGUAUGUCAUGUUCAGUAAUAUGUCCUUGUCCUGUUUAGAGAAGUUCUCUUUCAUAUGCUAAUACAUACUCUCUUGUUCUUCCUAGUGUGUUUUUACUAUUUCAGAUACAUCAGUCCUGUUCAGAGAAGUGAUUUUUCAUAUAGAUACUUCAUUCCACACAUCCAUUUGAAAUGUUGCCCACCUAGGAAUGCACGGUAAUAACAUAUAUCUAUAAUAAACUGACAUCCCAGAGAAUUUGAUUCUAGUUAUCUUUUUUCUGUUCUUGUAUCUUAGACUAAUUGUGGGAAUAGGUGAAUUUAUGGUUGUCUCGCUCGGUAUGUGCUUGUUUUUGUCUUUAAGUGCAUUGGUUUUUCAUUUCAAGAUCAUUGCAAGGGUGCGAUGGGCUUGCUUUAAGUGAAUAUAGGACCAAGUUCUUGCAUAUUCACUACUAUUUUUCAUGCCGUACUGCUUUUUUAUGUCUUUAUUCUAUCUCUAUUCUCCAGGCGUCUCUCGCCCUUUAGUAUCCUCAUGUCUCCAUGAAAGUCCUCUAUUUAAAUUGUGACCGUUCUCAUUCUUUGGCUACUGAUUUUUAACACACAGGUAUGGUAUGUUAAACUUUAUGCCCUUUGUGUAUUUGUUACUUGUUUCUUUUAUUUAUUUUGAGACUAGCUUCAGCCCUAUGUACUUUAUCUCCUUCUUUGUGUAAAUUUAGCAUCAGUGUUAUUAAGAAGCUUCUAAGUGUUAAUAGUCAUAGUAAAAGAAAUAUAUAUAGGCUUUGGACUAGAAAGUCUAUCUUUGUGUUAUUAUUUACUGUUUUGUUGCUUAAAGAAAAGAAGUUUAUAGUAGCUCUUUAAGCAUUAAAAGCAAAAUAACAAGCUUCUAUUAUUCAUUUAGUACUCCUUGGCCAGAGGAAAUGCCUAGUGCAGGCCUGCCAACUAUGGAGAUGACAUAUGAACGAUGCCUGUGUUCUGAAGUCUUUCUUUGUGCUCACCUAACAUUUCACUUGCUGCAUCCAUUAUAUUGUUGCUGAGUUUGGCCCAAACUUUUGUUACUCUCCCACAUAAGGUUGAGAAGGAUACAAGAAGACCGAGGUUGUAUGUGCUCAAUUGCUCUUUCAAGAACCUUUUAUUAAUUUAUGAGCUUUGAUCUUCGUUAUAUAAUAAUAACUCAUGAAUCGAUGAGUUGCUGUUAAUUCUUUUGCCACUUAUUUAACUGUGUAAAUAAUAUUCUUACUACUCUCACUUCGUGUUACCCCAAUUGGGUUUCAUAAUGUCUAGGCUCUAGCUAUUAUGCCAUAUGUUUCUACAGUUACUUUGCUAGAUAACGUUAUAAUUAAAUCAGAUUAAACCAGGGAGCUAAUCUCGUUUGAUUGUUUGUUAUUCUAGGGAUUUAGAGAAAAAAAUAAUUAAACUCCUUGAACCUGUAAGGUAAUAAAACAAGUUUCGUAGUACUGCGUUCUUAGUUCUUUAUAUUCCUGCUACAUUUUAUCUGUUUUCAGUAAGCUGUAAUUAUCUAUGACUUGGUCUCUUUAUAUUCCUGCUAAUUUGCGUAAUUAUCUAAUUGAUGUUUGGUGCCUCCAUUGAGAAGAACUGACAUUCUAAUUUGUGUUUCUUCUGUAAAUUUCAGAUAUUUAAGUAGUUUAUUUGUUUAAUUUAUUUCAAGGUUGGAUUUUGGGGAUGUUUCUAUCCGAUGUACCAUUUACAUGUGAUUCUCAAUUUAUCUCUUUUAUUUUAUAACGCUUUUAAAAAUCCUCAGUUGGCAAUGUUAGUAUAUUAUCCCAAAAUCAAGUUAAUGAACUCAGCAGAGGUCAAUCUACCCUUGGUCAGUCCUCUCCUUACUGAAUUUAGCCACUUACUUUGUUUAAUUUUUUCCCAUUACUAUAUUUUAGGCGCUUUGCAACCAGAGUUUGCUUCAAACAAGACUAAUGCAGUCCUUCGUACAUUUAAUUCAGUAUCUGAAUGGCUUCCGGGAAGGCCCACAAGGUCCGUGAUUCAUUUGAAGAUUAUGGUGGUCGAAGAAAGGAAUCAAGGGAUGAUGUGUACCUCUUUCUACUAUGAAGCUCAUACUCUUGUACUUAUAGGCUUGGAUUGGCCUUUGUUUUCAAGAUGAAAUUUUAGACUAAUAGGUUUUUGUAUUACUUAAUUUUAUACUUUAAGUUUUUGUAAGUUGAUUUUAUUGUUAAUUGAAGACCAUUCACAAUUCAGGUUUCA
This is a long non-coding RNA of Spinacia oleracea (spinach), 4241 nucleotides long. RefSeq lists it as uncharacterized. The transcript is spliced from 2 exons. Lineage: Eukaryota; Viridiplantae; Streptophyta; Magnoliopsida; Caryophyllales; Amaranthaceae. The record is from RefSeq and is a predicted model, not a curated record.